AGUGAACGCUGGCGGUAGGCCUAACACAUGCAAGUCGAACGGCAGCACAGUAAGAGCUUGCUCUUACGGGUGGCGAGUGGCGGACGGGUGAGGAAUACAUCGGAAUCUACUUUUUCGUGGGGGAUAACGUAGGGAAACUUACGCUAAUACCGCAUACGACCUACGGGUGAAAGCAGGGGAUCUUCGGACCUUGCGCGAUUGAAUGAGCCGAUGUCGGAGUAGCUAGUUGGCGGGGUAAAGGCCCACCAAGGCGACGAUCCGUAGCUGGUGUGAGAGGAUGAUCGGCCACACUGGAAGGGAGACACGGUCCAGACGCCUACGGGAGGCAGCAGUGGGGAAUAUGGGACAGUGGGCGCAAGCCUGAUCCAGCCAUACCGCGUGGGUGAAGAAGGCCUUCGGGUUGUAAAGCCCUUUUGUUGGUAAAGAAAAGCAGCAGGUUAAUACCCCGCGGUUCUGACGGUACCCAAAGAAUAAGCACCGGCUAACUUCGUG
This 492-nucleotide ribosomal RNA is filed under the name uncultured bacterium. RNAcentral describes it as "partial 16S ribosomal RNA". It matches the Rfam family "Bacterial small subunit ribosomal RNA", at positions 29 to 507 of the family's 1533-position model. The record is from RNAcentral.